This 567-nucleotide non-coding RNA is filed under the name Pan troglodytes (chimpanzee). Lineage: Eukaryota; Metazoa; Chordata; Mammalia; Primates; Hominidae. The record is from RNAcentral.
CAGGAGGGGGUGAGGGAUAAGACUACACAUAAGGUGGAGUUCAUACACAUGAGGGAUAAGACUACGCAUAAAGUAGAGUUCAUACUGCUCACAUGACAGGUGUACCAAAAUCUCAGAAAUCACCACUGAAGAACUUAUUCAUGUAACCAAAAACCACCUGUUCCCCAAAAACUAUUGAAAUAAAAAAAACCUCAUGAAUAUUUUUAAAAAGCCUAUGGGAAAAAAAUUACAAUCUAAGUUAUGACUAUUACCACCCUUUCACCAUUUCUGAAAGCUUAGCUGAUUCUAUAUGAACUUCUACAACAUCACUACUCAGUAGAACUUUGUAUUACACAAACCAAUUAUUACUAGGCCGCUCUCCCCAUAACUCAAUUCUGCCUAUGGACUCACUUGGAGUGGAGUGGAACAGUUGAUUAAACUGCUUAUAGGAUUUUCGCAGAUGUUCAUAUAUGUAAUUCAUACACUCAAAACUCUGAACAAGUAAUACCUUCCUAUGUACAAUUAACGAUAUUUGUAUUUUUGGAUUGGCAGGCAAAUGAAUAAAAGAACAUCUUUUAUUUACCCGUA